Molecule: long non-coding RNA, 1557 nt
Filed under: Malus domestica (apple)
Lineage: Eukaryota; Viridiplantae; Streptophyta; Magnoliopsida; Rosales; Rosaceae
Description: long non-coding RNA (MDOM_LNC005093)
Source: RNAcentral
UUGUUUGCGACGCCCCUAACGACGGAUAGAGUUUGAGCGGGAACAAAUUGGGCGCUUAGGGUAUGAGCGCGCGCGCUCCUUUUUUCUUUUUCCCAACGCAGCCUUAGUGCUCUCCCUCAACCGUUUCCGUUUCCUUUUCCUUUUCUCUCAAAGAUUCAAUCGAAAAUUCUGGAGUUGUAUCAGAGUUACGGAGCACAAUCAGAGUUCAGGUAAGCCACUACAACCAUCUCCAUCUUCUUUCUUUUUUGAUUCCAUAAGUCUUGCUAAGUGAUUUAUAAGGUUUCUGUCAAAGACGCACAUAUCUGCUAAAUGUCUUCCAAAACCUAGGGUCUUUGGCAUCCGGGAUUGGGAUGUCUUUCUUUUUUCCACCCAUUCUGCUCAGAAUCGGUUUGAUCAUCUUCCUCAGUACCUUGUUAAAUCCCAACCCACGUCUUUGAUUGCUAAGUGAUUCCAUAAGUCUUGCUUAGUUCUCUCCCUCAGCCUUAGUUUUCUCCCUCAACUGUUUCCGGUUCCAAUUAUUAGUUUGGACUGGACAACGCCUGCGUUCUGGGCUGCAGGUUUUCUUAAUAUGUUUACAGCACAAACAGAAAAUUUUAGUUAAAAACAAACCCUGUUUUCUUAAUAUGUUUACAGCACAAAUAGUAAUUGAUUUUUAGGGGGAUUGUGCUUCUUGAUAAAUAUUUGGUGUCUUUGCAGAUACUUUAUCUUUAGGGGGAUUGUGCUUCUUGAUUUUGUACGUGCCUUUAUUUUUAAUUCGUGGACAUCUUGCCCAAUUUUUUUUUUUUUUUUUUUUUUUGUAAUUUUGUUGGCAUUUGCAACAAUAUUUGGCUUCUUCUUCUUCCUUAAAAAUAUGGUGAAUGAUUAGAGUGUACCUUUUACAGGCGUUGCUUUUCCAUAGAUUGGGAAGAUCUUGGAGAAGGCCCUCGCACAAGGUAAAGUGGAUGAUGUAGGAUUGUUUUUUUGUGUGCUGACUAAAAGUUUACCUUGGAGUAAUCUCUUAUUUGUGACACUCCUUGAAAUUCUGGAUAUAUUUUCUUUGAGUAUCAUAUGCAAAAGUCAAGUUGCCCAAAGUUCAGAGGAUACAUUGAAUGAAGAAUUGGAUAUGUAUUUCGUAUUUGCUACCCAAGAAUAUGACCGUUUGGAUUGUUAAUUACCCAUUCCUAGCUAGUUCAUGUGUUAGGUAGGUGAAUGAUGGGGAUUAGUAGUGAGUUUAUCUAAUUUUUAAGUGAUAGUUGAUGGCAGACCUAGAGUUUGUCUAAUUACCCAUUCAACUCAUAUUAUAUAAGCCCACCUUUUAAAACUCAAUUGCUUCCCUUUAUUAUUUAUUUUUUUUAAUAACUAGUAUUAUCAUUAUGAAUGUUGAGAUAACUCUGUAUGUGUAUCGCCUAUUCCGAGCUCACACAUUAUCAUGCGUUAAUGCAUAUUCUUUUGUGUUAAAGUAGAAUAUUGUUUUUGGAAUAGUUUGGAUUGACAACUUAUCUCAUAUUGCUUAGUGUUUGACAUUUCUUUUGUAGUUCAAAUAUUUUGGAUUAACUAUAGAGAUCAGAUCAAGGGUGC